Molecule: ribosomal RNA, 497 nt
Filed under: uncultured bacterium
Lineage: Bacteria
Description: partial 16S ribosomal RNA
Rfam family: Bacterial small subunit ribosomal RNA
Source: RNAcentral
GAUGAACGCUGGCGGCGUGCCUAAUACAUGCAAGUCGAGCGAACGGACGAGAAGCUUGUUUUUCUGAUGUUAGCGGCGGACGGGUGAGUAACACGUGGAUAACCUACCUAUAAGACUGGGAUAACUUCGGGAAACCGGAGCUAAUACCGGAUAAUAUUUUGAACCGCAUGGUUCAAAAGUGAAAGACGGUCUUGCUGUCACUUAUAGAUGGAUCCGCGCUGCAUUAGCUAGUUGGUAAGGUAACGGCUUACCAAGGCAACGAUGCAUAGCCGACCUGAGAGGGGGAUCGGCCACCCGGGAACUGGAACACGGACCAGAGUCCUACGGGAGGCAGCAGUAGGGAAUCUUCCGCAAUGGGCGAAAGCCUUACGGAGCAACGCCGCGUGAGUGAUGAAGGUCUUCGGAUCGUAAAACUCUGUUAUUAGGGAAGAACAUAUGUGUAAGUAACUGUGCACAUCUUGACGGUACCUAAUCAGAAAGCCACGGCUAACUACGUG